Molecule: ribosomal RNA, 987 nt
Filed under: Triticum aestivum (bread wheat)
Lineage: Eukaryota; Viridiplantae; Streptophyta; Magnoliopsida; Poales; Poaceae
Description: partial small subunit ribosomal RNA
Source: RNAcentral
AUGUUCCCGCCGGGAUCUGUUGAGGGCAGGCAGCAGCCUCAAGAGAGGAGGUCAUCCCUGCCGGUAAAGAUCAGAUCUUCUAAGACAAAGCAGAGGAUGGCACUCUCCCUGGGUCCAGAGACUUACGACACAAACCAUGUUUUGGCCUGGAGAGAUCCCGGUUUGCCUACACCAGUUUAUGUCAGAAUGGAUAGUUCAGGAGUUUUUUACACAUAUCCUACUCUGGGUGAUAAGCCGUUGCAGAGCCUUGAAGAAGUUGGAAGUGCUGUUGAUUCCUAUGCUUGUCCCAAUGGUCCCAAUAGCAAUGUCAUGUCUGAUAAGAUGCUUUCAAAGAAGGAACGUGCUGUACAGGAACAUCUUUACUUCCCAAAUGGCACCAGCAAGGAUCUUGUGGAUGAACUCGAAGAAAUUGUUCAUUGGCAAUCAAUCUGCGAAGGUGUCGAAUGGUACUAUUAUCUCAAUAUCACUGUGAAGACCAAAGAGGGUGCCGAUGAUGCGGGCAGCACCAGUCUAUUCUUCGUUGAAGUCGCAUGUGAUUCAAAUGAUAUCACAGGAUAUUAUAUCAACACUUUCUCCAGGGUUAACACUGAUGGCCAGGAUAUAGAUCAGAACGAUACACUAGGAUGUUUUAUCCGCAUUUUCUGUGGUGUUAACGCUGAUGGCAAGGAUAAUUUACACUCAUAUCUCAAAUACGGCUGCGCUAUUAGCUCUCUUCGUUGGAAACAACGCUUGAAUGUAGUAACGGAUUACUAUGCUAUGAUGGAGUCAAUGAUGGAGCUACCUGCCAUGGCUGUACAAACAAUAAAAGUGAUGGUAUCUCAGGAUGAAGAACUGAUAAAAAGAGAGGAGAAAAGGAUAAGAGAAUUCUUUGAGUUCCUUGAUGAUGCUGAAUUUUUGGAGAAUAUGCGCUGCAAACGUCUUAAUUAUCCACGGAAACAUGAAAUACAUCUCCAGGAUCGAGUCCCAAUCUCCUUCAAUGUAUGUUUA